GAUGAACGCUAGCGGCAGGCCUAACACAUGCAAGUCGAGGGGUAGACAUCUUCGGAUGUUGAGACCGGCACACGGGUGCGUAACGCGUAUGCAAUCUACCUUAUACUAAGGGAUAGCCCAGAGAAAUUUGGAUUAAUACCUUAUGGUUAAUUGGAAAGGCAUCUUUCUAAUUAUAAAGAUUCAUUGGUAUAAGAUGAGCAUGAGUCCCAUUAGUUAGUUGGUAAGGUAACGGCUUACCAAGAGGAUGAUGGGUAGGGGUCCUGAGAGGGAGAUCCCCCCCACUGUUACGGAGACACGGACCAGACUCCUACGGGAGGCAGCAGUGAGGAAUAUUGGUCAAUGGGCGCAAGCCUGAACCAGCCAUGCCGCGUGCAGGAUGAAGCAUCUAUGGUGUGUAAACUGCUUUUGUACGGGAAGAAAAAACAUUACGUGUAAUGUACUGACGGUACCGUAAGAAUAAGGAUCGGCUAACUCCGUGCCAGCAGCCGCCGUAA
RNAcentral lists this ribosomal RNA (494 nucleotides) under uncultured bacterium. RNAcentral's name for it is "partial 16S ribosomal RNA". It matches the Rfam family "Bacterial small subunit ribosomal RNA", at positions 28 to 523 of the family's 1533-position model. The record is from RNAcentral.